CUGCUCCCAAAUGUCCAGAAGAAGAGGCAGUUUGGGGUUUCAUACUGCUAUAGCAUAAGUAUAAUAGUUAUUAGCAUAUAAUAGCUAUUAGUCUCUUUUUGGGUGUACCUAUUGAUUUUUAUGGUUUUUUUUCUACCUCCCCUUUUCUCCCUAUGUAAAUAAAUUGUAUAUAGUUAAGUACUGAGUGGUGUCUGAGUGACGGUUUCGAGGCUCCAGGUGUCCUUCUGUAGAGACACUCUCCACACUGUCGGAAGGAGGACUCCAAGGCAGAGACCCCAGGGACCGAUAACUGGCUGCAGCUGGCGGGUAGCUCCACCUCCUGAGUUACACAAGUAUUUUCAGCUAUUAGGUAGAACUUCCUGGACUUGCUGUACUGAUCCCUACAAUGCAGCAUGGACAUAGAAACCAUUCCCUCAUCUUUUUUUAACACCCUGAAUUUGUCUCUGCUUUUUUGGUCUUCAUGGAAAAGGGAUUUCUGCUCAGUACAACCUGCAGCUUGUUGCAAGCCAUCCUCAUCUUCAUCCUCAUGCAAUAUUCUCCAAGAAAGGAUAGCAUGUCCUUAAUCCCUUUAAAGGAUGGAAGAUGUAGUGGUAUGCAUAGGAGGAUGACCUUUGCUUUCUGUUGGCAUAUGAGACUGGCAUGAGGGCACCACCAGGUAAGUCUUUGAAGGUGAUGUUGGGGACCAUGAGUUCCCAAUAUCACUAUGUCCCCAAGAGGACUUUUCUCCUUCUGGUAGAUCGGAGGGUGUAAUCCAUCCCCAUGCAAUUUCUUAGGCAGCCAGUGGGUGCUGAACUGAACAGCAUGAUCAAGCAAGGCGUCGAGACUGGAGGGAGCCAAGAGGGACCCUUGUGAUAAUGGGUGGAUCUUCACCAAGUACAAGAUCUCAUUCUUCAUGAUGCUUCCUGGAGCAGAGGGGAAAGCAGAAGUUCAGAAAUGGAGAUGCAACAGCAAGAACCGUUCACAUCAGUGAGUCACAGGCCGGCAAACUAAGCCAGGGGUGCACAAGAAGUGAUAGCCCCUUCUCCCCGCGGUAAUGCCAAUGGCCUGGAGCUUCAGUGAGGCAGCCACACGGCACGCCUGGUCUGGAUCCAAAUGCACGUGGGCUUGGGAGCUGUGACAGCACCACUACACCAACUCCAGCAAGUCAUAGGGGUGGGUCAGUUGGACCACAUGCGACCAGUGGUUGUGGGGCUCUGGGAGGAAGCUCUCCCCAUGGCAGGAACCCAGAAGAAGAGAGGGCCAUGGCAGGCAGGGAGGGGCUAGGGCUGCAGGGCAGAGAGACUCUCCUGCUCCUCUGUCUGACUUUCAGGGAUCAGUGAGGUCUACCCCAUUAUUCCUUCUGCCCCAGUGUCAACUCUAGUCAAUGCGACCUCUGAACCUGGAGAAGUCUGCUACUUUUGGGGCCUCCAACCCUGUGCCUUUAACCAUCCCAGCCUCUCCUGGGCUUAGGCCUCUAUCUCUUCAGCUGACUACCCCAAACCCAGUCUGGUUCUCUCCCAGCUCACGUCUAAUCUGCUGCAACCCUACUGGUCUAUGGGUCCCUGCCCCUGCUUUUCACCCUGCUCAGGCUACAGGUCUCUGGCCCUGGCCCUGCAUGCUGUCAUCACUUUUUGGCUGUGGCCCUGCUCCUCAGCCUUGGCCCCUAUCCCUCACACCUUGGCCUCUCUCCUGGUCCAGUUGAAACCUCCCCCACUCCUACAGUCCUAAACCACCGGUCCUUACCCCCAGCAGUUUAGCUGCUUUAGCAGAGAUUCCCCUUGCAGAGUGCUCAGGAGCUCUUGCCUCCAUCGCCCCAGGGCUGAACUGCCUGCCCAGCUGGAGCCCUGGGCUUAUAUCAUGCAAGCCCAAUCCCUUUGGGCUCAUGUGGCCCCCUUGACUGCCCUCUGCCUCACCUGCAGCCUGCUGCUCCUGCCGCCUGCUUUCCCUUAAAGUAGCAAGAGCACCAAGCUCCCUGCUACAUCAGCCCAAUCUCAUUCCUUUUGGUACAGGGUGGGCACAUCUGUCCAUGGAAGGUGCUAUAGACACAUGACUACUACAUGGCUACUACCGGUCAACUGCAAGCCUCAUGUCUCAGAAGGGAUAUUUAACACACAGGGUCUACACUAAAUGAUAUAUCUGAGAUCCAUCUCAGACUGAGCCAUAGUGUUUCUCUCUUUGGAGUCCAUUCCCCCUCCCUGGUGGAGCAUAUGGUAUACCCAGAGCCCAGAAAUAUCUCCAGUCCAGAAGGAUGUAGCAGACAGCCAUGAGCCUGGGACAGGUUUGCAAAGCCUGCGCCUGAUGGAUCUCAGCAAACAGGAUGUCAAUGAUGGGUUUGGCAGUCGGCAAGGGGCGCCAAUGUAUUUGGCAGUUGUAGAAGAUGAGGAAGCCCCCUUCUCAAAGUGCAGAACCAGCCUUAAAAGGAACAGAAUGGAAAUUAGAGAAAAUACCCUGACUUUGCCUAUUCAGGGAAGGCACGGCCAAGACAAAGAGAGACUCUGGGGAUGACAUGGGGAAGAUAUGGCAAGGUUUGGACUGGCCCUGCAAAGAGGGAGAUGCCAGAAUGUGCAGCAAGCCGCAGGGGGAGAUGAGAAGGAUGAUCUUGUAGAGCACGAGCCAGUGGUCUUCCAGGCAACAACUAAAGAUGCUGCCUUGCGGGACCGUGUUAGCGUGCAGCUGGGCCAGGCUGCCUGAACACUCAGCUUGAUCUCUUCUAUCCUAUUUAGUUUUCUGUGUAGCCCUCAGGGUGGGAAGGAAACAUUUCCAGUGUAGCCAGGAAUAGAUGCUACCAACAGACUGAACCCCCACCCACAUCCAGCUCACUGGGCCUCACCUCUAUGCAGCCAAUUAAGACAUUGCUCAUUCUCUCUCUUUAUGCAAGGACAAGUGGCAACUUGACUGCAUUGACAUCAACAGAAACAGCAAGCUUCAGACAGCCGGUGCUGUGCUGAGGUGCCUCCCUGAAAACAAGCAGGCAGCAAAAUGCCCUCUGCAUCGGGCUACACCCCUCUUCCUGCCCUACCCCUUACCCCCUCCCACCCCAAGGUUAGUAGACAAUAUGUGAAUGAAAGUGCCCAGAGUUUUUGCUUUGUUUUUCCAGCCACAAAUUGCAUCAGUUCAGCCCUGGAGAACAUGAAUCAAGUCCUA
This is a long non-coding RNA of Gavialis gangeticus (Gharial), 3123 nucleotides long. RefSeq lists it as uncharacterized. Lineage: Eukaryota; Metazoa; Chordata; Crocodylia; Gavialidae. The record is from RefSeq and is a predicted model, not a curated record. The transcript is spliced from 2 exons.